UAAUGCACGGCUGGAAGUGAAGAA
This 24-nucleotide unclassified non-coding RNA is filed under the name Mus musculus (house mouse). Its description in RNAcentral is "oocyte_clustered_small_RNA11037". Lineage: Eukaryota; Metazoa; Chordata; Mammalia; Rodentia; Muridae. The record is from RNAcentral.